RNAcentral lists this ribosomal RNA (460 nucleotides) under uncultured bacterium. Its description in RNAcentral is "partial 16S ribosomal RNA". It matches the Rfam family "Bacterial small subunit ribosomal RNA", at positions 338 to 795 of the family's 1533-position model. The record is from RNAcentral.
CCUACGGGUGGCAGCAGUGAGGAAUAUUGGUCAAUGGACGAGAGUCUGAACCAGCCAAGUAGCGUGUAGGAUGACUGUCCUAUGGGUUGUAAACUUCUUUUAUAUGGGAAUAAAAUGUUCCACGUGUGGGAUUUUGUAUGUACCAUAUGAAUACGGAUCGGCUAACUCCGUGCCAGUAGCCGCGGUAAUACGGAGGAUCCGAGCGUUAUCCGGAUUUAUUGGGUUUAAAGGGUGCGUAGGUGGAUUAUUAAGUCAGUUGUGAAAGUUUGCGGCGCAACCGGAAAAUUGCAGUUGAAACUGGCAGUCUUGAGUAAAGUAGAGGUGGGCGGAAUUCGUGGUGUAGCGGUGAAAUGCUUAGAUAUUACGAAGAACUCCAGUUGCGAAGGCAGCUCACUGGGCUGCAACUGACACUGAGGCUCGAAAGUGUGGGUAUCAAACAGGAUUAGAUACCCUUGUAGUC